RNAcentral lists this transfer RNA (82 nucleotides) under Ailuropoda melanoleuca (giant panda). It matches the Rfam family "tRNA". Rfam says of the family: Transfer RNA (tRNA) molecules are approximately 80 nucleotides in length. Their secondary structure includes four short double-helical elements and three loops (D, anti-codon, and T loops). Further hydrogen bonds mediate the characteristic L-shaped molecular structure. tRNAs have two regions of fundamental functional importance: the anti-codon, which is responsible for specific mRNA codon recognition, and the 3' end, to which the tRNAs corresponding amino acid is attached (by aminoacyl-tRNA synthetases). tRNAs cope with the degeneracy of the genetic code in two manners: having more than one tRNA (with a specific anti-codon) for a particular amino acid; and 'wobble' base-pairing, i.e. permitting non-standard base-pairing at the 3rd anti-codon position. Lineage: Eukaryota; Metazoa; Chordata; Mammalia; Carnivora; Ursidae. The record is from Rfam by way of RNAcentral.
GCCUGAGUGGCUCAGUCAGUUAAGCGUCUGCCUUCGGCUCAGGUCAUGAUCAGGGUUGUGGGAUCAAGUCCCACAUCAGGCU